This is a small nuclear RNA of Bombyx mandarina (wild silkworm), 156 nucleotides long. NCBI's taxonomy places the organism in Eukaryota, Metazoa, Arthropoda, Insecta, Lepidoptera, Bombycidae. The record is from RefSeq and is a predicted model, not a curated record.
AUACCUACCUGGCGUCGGGAUACCGUGAUCAUGCAGGCGGUUCCGCCGGGGUGCGGCUGCUCCAUUGCACUGCGGAGUGGUUGACCCUUGUGAUUAUUUUUAUAUUUUAUAAGUUUCACUUCUACCGUGUGUGACUUGCAGACUUGCACACACACA